Molecule: long non-coding RNA, 320 nt
Organism: Magnolia sinica
Lineage: Eukaryota; Viridiplantae; Streptophyta; Magnoliopsida; Magnoliales; Magnoliaceae
Exons: 3
Source: RefSeq, a predicted model, not a curated record
AUACUACAUUAGAACAACCUGUGGAAGCAUUCACGAAUAUUACAUACAGCCACCAGGUGGAUGAUCUCUCAAGGAUGUAUAGGCUAUUUUGUAGAAGAACUAGAGGCUUAGAUCCCGUUUCUCAAAUAUUUAAGCAGCAUGUUACUACUGAAGGAACCGCCUUGGUUAAACAAGCAGAAGAUGCCGCAAGUAACAAGAAAGUGAGUUCUUCUCAUUUUCGUAGUCUGAAACAUUGUUGGUUUAUCUAGCUAGGAUAGAAUACAAUAGUGGGACAAAUUCAUGUAGUCGACCCCAAUUAAUUGGGAUGAGGCUUAGAUGAU